AGAGUUUGAUCCUGGCUCAGAUUGAACGCUGGCGGUAUGCCUUACACAUGCAAGUCGAACGGUAGAGGGGCAACCCUUGAGAGUGGCGAACGGGUGAGUAAUACAUCGGAACGUGCCCAGUCGUGGGGGAUAACGUAGCGAAAGCUACGCUAAUACCGCAUACGACCCGAGGGUGAAAGCGGGGGACUCGCAAGAGCCUCGCGCGAUUGGAGCGGCCGAUGGCAGAUUAGGUAGUUGGUGGGGUAAAGGCCCACCAAGCCUGCGAUCUGUAGCUGGUCUGAGAGGACGACCAGCCACACUGGGACUGAGACACGGCCCAGACUCCUACGGGAGGCAGCAGUGGGGAAUUUUGGACAAUGGGCGAAAGCCUGAUCCAGCCAUACCGCGUGCGGGAAGAAGGCCUUCGGGUUGUAAACCGCUUUUGUCAGGGAAGAAAUCCUUUGGGUUAAUACCUCGGAGGGAUGACGGUACCUGAAGAAUAAGCACCGGCUAACUACGUGCCAGCAGCCGCGGUAAUACGUAGG
This 524-nucleotide ribosomal RNA is filed under the name uncultured Leptothrix sp. RNAcentral describes it as "bacterial SSU rRNA". It matches the Rfam family "Bacterial small subunit ribosomal RNA", at positions 8 to 531 of the family's 1533-position model. Lineage: Bacteria; Pseudomonadati; Pseudomonadota; Betaproteobacteria; Burkholderiales; Sphaerotilaceae. The record is from RNAcentral.